AUUAAGCGCAGUCGUGGGUUUCAAUGCCCAACGUUUGACCAUCCGUCUUAUUUGAAAAAGUUUUUAUGAUUACUAUUUUUAUUGUUAUUAGAUGAUAAAACAUUGAAUAAUACUUUAUGCGUGACUUAAUUUUUUAAAAAAAAUUAUAUAUUUUUCAAAUAAAACGAACAGUCAAAUAUUAGACACAGAAACUUAUGGCUGCACUUAAA
This is a non-coding RNA of Oryza meridionalis, 209 nucleotides long. The record is from Rfam. Lineage: Eukaryota; Viridiplantae; Streptophyta; Magnoliopsida; Poales; Poaceae.